Molecule: long non-coding RNA, 3516 nt
Organism: Bombus impatiens (common eastern bumble bee)
Lineage: Eukaryota; Metazoa; Arthropoda; Insecta; Hymenoptera; Apidae
Exons: 2
Source: RefSeq, a predicted model, not a curated record
AUAGCAAUGAAUUAAUCUCCAGAUAUGUAUUUAACGUAAAUUACGUUCGUAACAACAAGGAUGUUCAUUUAUUAUCGAGAGUAGAUACACCGAUGCAACUUAAUAAUUCAUUGUAAUUAAUGCAGUCGGAACAUGCAAUUUUAGGUCGAUUCCGUAAUUUUCGUAAUAUUCAUGUACGUUACAUAUAAAUACAUUUUUAGCUGAAAUUUUCAUACUGUUCCUGUUUUCUCAGAUCCUGUAUAAAUCUGUGCAUAAAGGUUUAUGCAAAAGAAAACGGUUUUUCAGGUAUACCGGGACGAAUAUAUCUUAAAGAUGCAACAGUCGAGAAUGGAAGCGUUCGAAAGAGUAGAUUCUUUUGAAGCAUCGAACGAAAGCGAAGUAGAAUAGCGUAAAGCCGAGAGAACUCGAACCUCUCGAUAUGUACAGUCGAGGUCUAAGCUCGGGAUUAUCCCUUGACUACGAGUAUUAAGGAACAGGAUCGGAAAUUUGAAUCGACAUCGUGAAUUUGAGAUUUCGAAUGAACGAAUUUGAAGCCAAGAUGUUCUUGUAUCGAGAAAGUUCAAAGAUGUUCCUUCUCCAACCUUCGGUGAAAGAUUUCACGUGAUCUUUCGACACCAAAUUACAGGAAAAUCGAGAAUUGUCAAUUUGAAAUACGAAUCGAUUAAAAAAUACUCGAUUGUUAUAUCGAAGCGAUUACUAGUAAUCGCCUUUGCCGUGGAGAAAUAUGAUUGCCCUGAAGGUAGCUAAUUUUCUUUCUCUCUCAAUAUUUUAGUACCUCUUUUACGUCUCUAUCGAUAAUCUAAUCGAUAAUGGUCUCGAAUCGCAAACAAUUUCAGACGAGAAGCUGAAAUAUCGAGCUUGUUAGUCUAUCAAAUUGUUUAAUCGUUCUGUAAAUUUGAUGCGUCGCUAUGAGUUGUUGUUACGUAAUUACCAUUUCAAGAGAGUAAUAAAAGUAGUCUAUAACGUAGUUUUACGAUGCAAAUCAAUAAUAUCAGAAUGUGAACGUGAUAUAGACUUGCGAAGAUUUACAUGACAUACAUAGUUAUAACAAAUUGGAAACACGAUCUUAAUUUGCGAUUGCAAUGAGUAAUAAAUUAUAAUUGUAAGCUAUUAUCAUGGAACCAUAAAUUAUAGGUUAAGAUUGGAUAAAGUAUCAAAAUCUAUCGAUUCUUAUAAUAAAACUCUUUAUAGACACGAUAUAUAUUUCUAGAAGCACUGAAUUACUAUUUUUGAUUCAUUGGACAGGUGAAAUUUGGAAUGCGAGAUGUAAUGCGAAAGAAUUAGAAGCUUCUUCUUGUUCUUAUCUUUGGCUAAAGGGAUUGACUUUAUCGAGUUUUCCAUAGUACUCGAUUAAGCUUGAUUUUGAUUGCGUUUUCUUUUCGUGCAUUCUCGUCAAUAUUUCUUGGUUUCCUACCGACUACUUUUUCUUAUUAUUAUCGAUUUCUUGUCGUUUCAGUAUCGUUCUACCUUCGCGAAUAACUUGUUUUUCGAUCGAGUUCGUUCUACGUUUGAAUAUUCGAUGAUCGUUCUUGUUUAUCGAUCGUCUGGUAAAUCUAAAUUAAGCUACAAUUAGAUAACGUACAGUUGAGAGGACUUUGUUAACUGUACAAGUUCGGUCACGACGUGCUCACGGUUUCGACAAAUAACGCAGUUCGUUGUAACCCUAUCGACGCUAUGGAUCGUGACUGGAACUACUAACGGUUUACUCCGCUUAACGAGCGCUGAAUAACAUCGUGAGACGAUAUGUCUCCUUUUAUAUUACUUUAUUAAAACAAAUAGUUAAAAUUACGCUAGACUUGGACAAUUUUACGUACUGAUCUGUGUACACGCUAUGAGGAAAUUGAGUCUAAUGAGAUAGCCUCUUUAGACUAUGGAUCUUCCAAAGAAUAGAAAUUAGAAUGCGUUUAAAAAAGAAAUUUCUGAUAAAUGUUGGAAAUGGGCCGCACACAUUAAUAUUGAGAAAAACGGGGAUUGUAUCGGCAGAGCGCCAUCUAAGGAGUUUGAAAGUUGACGGCGAAAAUUUAACUGUACGGUUGCAACUACCGCGACACCUAUAUAUUUGAUGGAUUACGAUACAAAUCUGUCGUUCGUUUGCUUCGAUGCGCGACAAACUUGGAAAGCAACUACAUAUUUGUUUCUACUUCUUACUUGAACUUCUUGAUUCUAUAAAAAUUUUCAAUAUCUUUGCUACACGUCGGAGAUGGAAGUUUACCCGUUUCAAAACAAACGUGUUGAAAAGUUGCACGUAAUAUAAAACGUGUCUAGGAAAGAUAAACGCAAGUUGUUCGAUCCGACGUUAACCUAAAAGCACUGUUAUCGAUAUAUGUAGGUUCUGUCGUUUCAGUCUUAAAAAUUACAUUCAGUCUUUCGAAUUACAUACCAAUGAAAGCGUCGAUUCAAUUUUAGUGAAAACAGUGCUUCUCUUUUUAUUUUCUUUUCUUUCACGUCCACAUAUCUACGAUCUUACGUUUUUCGAUAUAAGAAAAUUCGGGUUUCAACUAAACCCGGUGGAUAGGAAAUUGUUGUCGAAAAAGUUUAACAAACAGUAUCAUUAAAUGUUAGAAAGCUAUUAAAAAACAAAUAAAAGCUUCAGAUAUAAAAAAAUGUUGUAAUUUGAUAAGAGUCAAAAUUUGUUCAUUCUUUGAGAAGCUUGGUUAGCUGCGAUUUUUAUCACAUAAUAUAUUUUGCAAAUGGAUGUUGCAAUCUAUGGUUAAAGAUAAAAUUCGAUUUACGCCAAGAGAUUCUGAGAAAUUAUGUAAUUUAAAUUGCAGCUGGUAGAUAUUUGGAAAAAUGAAAAUCUUAGUUCUAACUUUUUAAAACUAAGCAACUGCGUAUUUUGCAAACUUCUUAUCCAGAACUAAAUGGAGAAUACAGGUAUAUAUAUUCAGGCAACUUUUAAGCAAAUAUCGUUGAUAAAACAAGGCAAAUUUCACCUCAGUUCUACGUAAAUAAUGCAUGCUUCCUGGACAAAGUUUUCUCUGUUGAACUGAGAAAACUUUAUAGAUUUAUAUUCCCGUUACCACGACUGCAGUUUUUGAAACUUUCUCGCGCAUACGCUUUGCGAUUUUUUCUUUCCCUUUGCUCCUUUUAAACCGUGGAAUCGAAAAUGAUUCGUAUCGAACUACGUGAGUCUAAUUUUUAAAUUGAUCACUCGUAUAUCGCACGUUUAGCGCAUAAUUUCUCUUACAACGACGACUAAUCGAUUAUUAAUCCCUAAGUGGGAAAUACAUUCGUCGUUGAUUCUCCUCGUUAGACCGUGCACUUAUUGCGAUGUGUGCAAUUGUGUGUGGUACACUUGAUCAGCCGAGUAGUAGUGUCACACAUAUAUGAGUAUGAGUGUGUGUGGUAGUACGUGCGUGCGCAGCGUCUCGUAAAACAGAAGAAUGCAACUGUUCCGUACGCACGGUGUUAAGGAAGAUGGUGAGACAAGAAGAGGCUGAGACGUGUGCAAUCUGUAUCUACGAAUAUCUCGUAAAUCUCAUAUUAAAUAAAUCUGAAACUAUUUUAAAACCAUUU